Ictidomys tridecemlineatus (thirteen-lined ground squirrel) is the source of this 870-nucleotide non-coding RNA. NCBI's taxonomy places the organism in Eukaryota, Metazoa, Chordata, Mammalia, Rodentia, Sciuridae. The record is from RefSeq and is a predicted model, not a curated record.
UCCACCAGUCUCCCCUGAGGUCACCUGUUCAGCUUUGUUACUCCUGCUCCCUCACCAGCUUUCAUAGAAACCAUAUGCUAUGUAUGAAUCAGGGACAGCAAUCCCACACAUUGCGUCCUUUGAGUACCCAAAGUCCCACUUUUUACUUUGCCAUGCCUUCACAUCAGCAGUAAUAUUUAUCAGCAAAUGUGAGAUUUUCAAAGAUCCAAUUCUAUGUGCUCCUUUCCCAAAGAGCCUUAGGCAGGGCUAUAGCAUACAUAAAUAUUAAGUAAAGGGCGUAGUUUUUUAAAUGUCAUCCAUUGAUAGUUGACACAUGUCUGAGAUACUUUUUAUUUUGGAGGAGGUAUUAUUUAAUUGGGAAUUCCAACAGCUACAUGAUAGUGAAAUGAGAAGAUUUGCAUCCAUUUUAUUUUGUUUCUGAUGAUUUUUAUGACUAAGGAUAAGAUACUUCCUUGUUCCAAUGCAGAUGUUGCCCACUUCUGUAAAUGGAUGUGGGGUGUCACCUGCUACUUGCAUGUCUGCAUGUUCUGCUUGACACUAACAUCGUACUUGGCAGGUGGCAGAAAGUCAAUACUGAAGUUAAGGUCUUGUGUUCUAGCAGCAGAGCUGAAGAUCCUUUGUGUGCCACCUUCUGCAAUCCAUGCUGCUCUCUUCAUGUUCCUUAUUGACUUCCUGGGAGACACUGCCCUCAAACACUUCUGUGCAGCUGGGAAUGCAGGCUUCUGCUUCACCUUGAAGGAAGCAUUCAUGAAUCCUUUCCAGAAGACAUGAGAAGAGAGAGUGAGCCUCUGGUAACAUGCAGGUUCCUUGCAUUGCCCAUGGGCUAGAAGAGAGAAGAGUUGCUUCAUGAGAUUUGAUCCCCUUUUUCCU